Molecule: small nucleolar RNA, 122 nt
Organism: Chlorocebus sabaeus (green monkey)
Lineage: Eukaryota; Metazoa; Chordata; Mammalia; Primates; Cercopithecidae
Gene: SNORA70
Rfam family: Small nucleolar RNA SNORA70
About the family: snoRNA U70 seems to be exclusive to mammals and is a member of the H/ACA class of snoRNA which contain H (ANANNA) and ACA box motifs. H/ACA box snoRNAs are involved in the conversion of uridines to pseudouridines (5-ribosyluracil) a constituent of structural RNAs (transfer, ribosomal, small nuclear, and small nucleolar).
Source: Ensembl
CUGCAGCCAAUUAAGCCUACUGGGUUCCUUUCCUCCUUGGGGCCUGGUGUGCAGCAGCUUCCUUGGUAGUGUAUGCAGCCUGUUUCUUGUAUGGGUUGUUCUAAGGGACCUUGGAGACAGGC